Molecule: long non-coding RNA, 815 nt
Filed under: Danio rerio (zebrafish)
Lineage: Eukaryota; Metazoa; Chordata; Actinopteri; Cypriniformes; Danionidae
Description: si:ch211-173k16.9 (ENSDARG00000097552.2)
Source: RNAcentral
AUGAUGUCAGUUCUGCUGUUGUGUCCACGGGCUGCUAAAACAAUUGCGUCACGUAUAUAUUUUAGAUUAAUUAUCUGUUAUUCGUUUAAAGAAAAGUGACCCCUGCUGCCUUCAAAGCCCUCCAAGCAGUCGAAGAAACUCUUUUAAAGUGGCACGGUCGACUAUGGCAGCCUCUUUUGUUUCUUCAUCGAUGAGGAGGUACAUGUAGUUGUCGGUGAGAGCGGGCAGCAGUUCCACCUUCAUGUCGGACUGUUCCACCAGAGAGGAUUUCCGAAUCGCGGAGUGAAACAAGGCUGUGGGGGCUUCAAAACAAAGACACAGGUUCAGUGCAUGUUCAUGACCAACAAUUUCACUUUUUUUGUGGAAAACGUCCAUGUAGUUUACAAUAACUAUGGUUUAAACCAGAGAUAGAGCCCGCAGGCCAAAGUUGGUCCAUGGUAACCUUUCAUUUGGCCCACCAUCCCAUCUAAGAAGAGAGAGAGAGAGUGAUGGGGAUGGUUUAGAGACUGUCAUUUCUAAUUUAAUGUAACUACUUGUUUGUUUGUUUGUUUCUUUGUUUGUUUGUUUGUUUUUAUAACUAAGCAACAAAAGUGAAUGCAAAUAAAAUGUUUCAAUUAAACAAAUCAGAAUUGUUUUUUUAAAUGUACAUACUGUCACCCAACAGAUAGAGAACAAUCCAGAGAGAUAUCAGUAAACAAAUGAAGGCAAAGGCAGAUAAUGCUUGACUAGUGUAUUGAGCACUGAACUCCAUUGUGCUAUAAAUGUGAUUGUUUUAUUGCAAUAGGUUAUAAUAAAAUGUAUAUACUGCAUAAGCU